AUUUAAUUUUAGUCUAAUUAUAAUUUUAGUUCUAUUACAGUAGCAGGCCUUACCAAGUUCCAGUCAGUCACAGACCAUGAAGAUUGUUUCAUUGAAGAUAGGAAAUGAGUAGCAUAUGCUAUGAAGAAGAUGUUUACAGCAAAGACCCCGAAAAUGGAGCCAUUGACGAAGACCAGGAAAAGAAAAUUAAAGGAAAGUAUAUUUAAUUUUAGUCUAAUUAUAAUUUUAGUUCUAUUACAGUAGCAGGCCUUACCAAGUUCCAGUCAGUCACAGAACAUGAAGAUUGUUUCAUUGAAGAUAGGAAAUGAGUAGCAUAUACUAUGAAGAAGAUGUUUACAGCAAAGACCCGAAAAUGGAGCCAUUGACGAAGACCAGGACAAGAUGCUUAAAGUAGCAGGCCUUACCAAGUUUCAGUUGCAGAAGAUUUCAUUAUUUCAUUGAAAAUUGGAGAUAAAUAACAUCUCCAAGGAAGAUUAAUUAUUACAUUAAUCUUCACCCAAGUCUGAGGCCAUGACAUGAAAGAAAUAAGUUAUAUUAGUGCCAAUGUUUUCAUGAAUGGGGAGUAAGACUUGGUGGUAUAAUAUUUCUAAUAUACAAAUACUAUGAAGAAGAUGUUUACAGCAAAGACCCUGAAAAUAGAGCCAUUGGCGAAGACCAGGACAAGAUGCUUAAAGUAGCAGGCCUUACCAAGUUUCAGUCGCAGAAGAUGAAGAUUAUUUCAUUGAAAAUUGGAGAUAAAUAACAUCUCCAAGGAAGAUUAAUUAUUACAUUAAUCUUCACCCAAGUCUGAGGCCAUGACAUGAAAGAAAUAACGUUAUAUUAGUGCCAAUGUUUUCAUGAAUGGGGAGUAAGACUUGGUGGUAUAAUAUUUCUAAUAUACAAGCUAGCAAUAAUUACUGCUUUUCAGUAUGGGUUGAGGUUUAGAAUGAUCAUUGGAGCUGACUUUUAAGGUUAGCAUUACAGCUUGUCCUUACAGAUUGAUGUUGGAAAUGGCCAUUGGAGUUGAAUUUUAAAGAUAACUAUUACUGUGGCUGAAGGAUAUAAUUGUUUGAUUAAUUCUCCGUAUCCCUCAGAGUUGUUGCAAAGGUUAUUAACAUGUAUACAGCUUGGCACUCUACACAAGGCAUUGGAUUUAACGUCCCCAUUCUGACCGGACAUGGCUGCGAAUUCAUACAUCCUGCACUUCCAAACAGAAGCCCCACUGCCAGUCUGAAGAAGACCAAGCGUGACCAUAUUUCUAUUCCCCAGUCACCCUUUGGGGUCUUUCUAACUUGAAGGAAAGGUUUCCAAUAGGAAUGGUUCAUAUAACUCUUGUUAAAACCAGUUAAAGAAUGUAUUUGAUAAAUUCUAAAUCAGAACUAAAACUACAGAAGAGUACAAAAUCCGCAAGUGAUAAUUUGCAUUUCACAAUUUGUGAAGCUAAUUGGAAGCACGUACCGUCUGUCGUUGCGAGGCCAUUUGGGAGCAUCUCUGUCGGGUGAACCUGAUUGGAAGUAGUACCUCUGGCAGACCAAAGCCAAUUAGAAGCAUGUAACUCUGGGUGAAGCCAACUUGGAAGCAGUAACCUCUGGAAAGUUGAUUUAACACAUUAUUAAUACACAAAUUUUAUUUAACAUUCUUUUUAAAGUUUACUUUCAUAUCAUCUUUUAUUUUCUAUUUAUAAUUACUCACCUUGUUGACAUUGCGACAUGCAAAUUAUCACUUCACCAUUUUUUUACUAGCCUAUGGUUUUUAUCCUGAUGAAGGUGCACUAGGAACCGAAACAUGUAGUCAGAGUUUCAAAUUUAUAUAUUUGAAUAUGAUAAUGUAUUUUGUUUUGUUAAGUAUAUUAUAAAAUUUUGAACCGACACCAGUUUUUUUAAGCUUAUAGAAAAGUCCUAGGUGCCAUACAGAGUCAAAUGCACGUUUAAUGUCUACAAAACAUGCAUAUAAUUGUUGGGAUUUAUUUCUGAUGUAUUUUUUGUAUAAGAGUAUUUAUUACAAACAUAUGAUCAGAUGUACUACAUCCUCUUUUAAAUCCAAUUUGCUCUUUACAAAUGAGUUUUUUCUUCUCAAAAAAGGCUGUCAGUCUAUUAUUUAAUAUUCUGUUAAAAAGUUGACCAAUAGUGUCACUUAUUGUUAUACCUCUAUAGUUUGAAGGAUCAUAUAUUGACCCCUUUUUAUGUAUAGUUGAAAUAUUCUCUUUGGCCAUAUUUUAGGUUAGAUUCCUGCAGAAAAAAAUCUAUUAAAAGCUUUUAAAAAUAGUGGGUUAAAAAUUGAUUGGCAGUACUUAAUUAUUUCAUUUAGUAUCAUAUUUAAUCCACAGGAUUUGCCAUUCUUUAAAGAUUUAAUAGCUUUUAUUUAAGUUCAGACUCUGUAAUCUUGAAAGUCUUAAUUCAUUAAAAAUAUUAGUUUUUUCUAAAUUAUUAAGCUCCUGUAGAAUUGAUUCAUUUUCAGCAAUUGUAUUUUUAUUUAGGGAUUUAAAAUGAUUCUCCCAAUCUUCCAAACUGAUAUAUGUUUCCUUUUUAUCAUUAUCUCCUUUUAAUUUUUCAACUAAUUUCCAAUAGGCUUUAGGAUUUUCAUUUUUAAGAUUAUCUAGCUUAUUAACGAAAUAACUCUUUAACUUACAUUUAUCUUUUCUGGUUUUUCUGUAAUGUUUUAGGCAUUUAAAAUAUGACCCUCUAAUGUAUUGGUCAUUGCUAUACUUUUGCAAUCGAUUGCAUUUAUGAUCUAGUUCUUGUUUUAUUUUCUUAAGACUGUAAUCAUACCAUAACUUUUGCUUUCUGUUAUUAACUUUCUUUUGAUA
This is a long non-coding RNA of Mytilus californianus (California mussel), 2785 nucleotides long. RefSeq lists it as uncharacterized. Lineage: Eukaryota; Metazoa; Mollusca; Bivalvia; Mytilida; Mytilidae. The record is from RefSeq and is a predicted model, not a curated record. The transcript is spliced from 11 exons.